GAAGAAGCAAUGACUGAGGGCGAUCCUGAAAACCCGUGUGCAAGAUCCCAAGGAGGAUAACCAGCAAGGGCAUGCCAGCCUCGUUGAACCAGGGGCAAAGCCCAAGAUUCGGCUCUAGCCCAUGUCUGAGCCCGAGGGAAAAAACGAGCAGGCAACAUUCUCAACCUGAAACCAGAGCUCAAGAUCCUAACGGAGGAACACCUGGAAGACCAGCCCACCCUCGUGGACGAGAAAGCAGGAGCCAAGCCCAAGAUUCGGCUUGAGGGAAAAAAUGAGCAGGCAACAUUCGUGGCAAAGGACUUAGUUCCUAACCCAGAACCUGUGACACCCAUUUUCUUUGGGACCGAGUUUAAAGUGGAAUUAGAUUAGAUUGAGGAGAUCAUUGAAACGGAGGAGGAAGAAAAAGAAGACGAAGAAGAAGGCGAUGAUAUCGAUGCUUUCCAGGAUGAUAUCUCCCCACCGAAGACACGGAAGAAGAAGGGGAAGAAAGGCCGCAGCGGGGAUUUGUAUAAGUUCGACAGGGAUGGGCCUUAUUGGCCCUUAAAGUAGGUGCUGAAAUAUGGAGGACGUGGGAGGAAGGUCCAGUGCUCCUCCUACAAAGCACCACUUUCCUGACGACCCCAACUAAAAAAUCCUUCCAUAUAAUAAUAAAUGUUGUACUGAAAACCUGUGUUUAUUUAGCCUAACAAGAAUUUUCAAUAUGGAA
This 706-nucleotide long non-coding RNA is filed under the name Penaeus japonicus. RNAcentral's name for it is "uncharacterized LOC122244410". The record is from RNAcentral. Lineage: Eukaryota; Metazoa; Arthropoda; Malacostraca; Decapoda; Penaeidae.